This 786-nucleotide long non-coding RNA is filed under the name Anas platyrhynchos platyrhynchos (common mallard). RNAcentral describes it as "lncRNA (ENSAPLG00000028625.1)". The record is from RNAcentral. Lineage: Eukaryota; Metazoa; Chordata; Aves; Anseriformes; Anatidae.
UUCUCUAAUCCUUGAAUAUUGAGGAAAUCCAUGAGGCCUAGGUGAAAAUUAAUGGUGCGUUAGCAUACAAAAGAUGCAAGCUGACCAGGAAGAUUGCUAGCCAAUUUUUAUGUUACAGACUGGUGAAUCAUUUAUGUAUUUGCUAAGGUUAAGCAGUUAGCACACUUGGGUAGACAAAAAUAAAUUAAUGAAAAAGCAUUGAAAACCCAUGAUUAGGUACAUAAAAUUGAUAGGUACAGUUAUUCUAUUUAUCACAAUGACUUGCGAUAAUAUGUAUAAUAGCUGUUGGGAAGAAAAAAAAAAAAGAAUUUUUAUAUUGGUAGUGAAACAAUGAAAUGUGAACAAAUUAACCCUUGCUAGAUACCAUAUACAGUUUGUGCCUCCAACAGUUGAAAGACAUUAAUAAACUGAGGUGGUCAGGGCUGGAGCAGUUGCCCAUGGGGGCUGAAGUCCAGCUGUGUGUGGGAAGGGGCAGGGCCAGGAGCACACAACAGAGCCCUAGUGCCCACGUGGGUCUGCCAGGGAGAUGGCAUCAAGCUCUUCUCAGGCAUGGCUCUUCUCAGGUAUGGCAGGAGGCAAGGGCCUGGUACCAGGAAACCUUUUCCCAGGAGUAGAGACUUUGGCACUCGGCAGGUGGUGGAUUCUCAAAGCAACUGCUUCCUGGAAAAGCACUGGUAAUUUAAGGAGAGGAAGACUUUUAAUUCCAACAAAGUGCAAAAUGUCAUGGCACUGUGACAGAAUGCUAAAUUCUGUGGCUGUAUAAUCACCAUGUUCUCUGUGAUUAGG